UACGUAGGUGGCAAGCGUUGUCCGGAAUUAUUGGGCGUAAAGCGCGCGCAGGCGGUCCUUUAAGUCUGAUGUGAAAGCCCACGGCUCAAUCGUGGAGGGUCAUUGGAAACUGGGGGACUUGAGUGCAGGAGAGAAGAGUGGAAUUCCACGUGUAGCGGUGAAAUGCGUAGAGAUGUGGAGGAACACCAGUGGCGAAGGCGACUCUGUGGCCUGUAACUGACGCUGAGGCGCGAAAGCGUGGGGAGCAAACAGG
RNAcentral lists this ribosomal RNA (253 nucleotides) under uncultured bacterium. RNAcentral describes it as "partial 16S ribosomal RNA". It matches the Rfam family "Bacterial small subunit ribosomal RNA", at positions 524 to 776 of the family's 1533-position model. The record is from RNAcentral.